Molecule: ribosomal RNA, 1084 nt
Filed under: Staphylococcus aureus
Lineage: Bacteria; Bacillati; Bacillota; Bacilli; Caryophanales; Staphylococcaceae
Description: partial 23S ribosomal RNA
Rfam family: Bacterial large subunit ribosomal RNA
Source: RNAcentral
AAUACAUAGCAUAUCAGAAGGCACACCCGGAGAACUGAAACAUCUUAGUACCCGGAGGAAGAGAAAGAAAAUUCGAUCCCCUUAGUAGCGGCGAGCGAAACGGGAAGAGCCCAAACCAACAAGCUUGCUUGUUGGGGUUGUAGGACACUCUAUACGGAGUUACAAAGGACGACAUUAGACGAAUCAUCUGGAAAGAUGAAUCAAAGAAGGUAAUAAUCCUGUAGUCGAAAAUGUUGUCUCUCUUGAGUGGAUCCUGAGUACGACGGAGCACGUGAAAUUCCGUCGGAAUCUGGGAGGACCAUCUCCUAAGGCUAAAUACUCUCUAGUGACCGAUAGUGAACCAGUACCGUGAGGGAAAGGUGAAAAGCACCCCGGAAGGGGAGUGAAAUAGAACCUGAAACCGUGUGCUUACAAGUAGUCAGAGCCCGUUAAUGGGUGAUGGCGUGCCUUUUGUAGAAUGAACCGGCGAGUUACGAUUUGAUGCAAGGUUAAGCAGUAAAUGUGGAGCCGUAGCGAAAGCGAGUCUGAAUAGGGCGUUUAGUAUUUGGUCGUAGACCCGAAACCAGGUGAUCUACCCUUGGUCAGGUUGAAGUUCAGGUAACACUGAAUGGAGGACCGAACCGACUUACGUUGAAAAGUGAGCGGAUGAACUGAGGGUAGCGGAGAAAUUCCAAUCGAACCUGGAGAUAGCUGGUUCUCUCCGAAAUAGCUUUAGGGCUAGCCUCAAGUGAUGAUUAUUGGAGGUAGAGCACUGUUUGGACGAGGGGCCCCUCUCGGGUUACCGAAUUCAGACAAACUCCGAAUGCCAAUUAAUUUAACUUGGGAGUCAGAACAUGGGUGAUAAGGUCCGUGUUCGAAAGGGAAACAGCCCAGACCACCAGCUAAGGUCCCAAAAUAUAUGUUAAGUGGAAAAGGAUGUGGCGUUGCCCAGACAACUAGGAUGUUGGCUUAGAAGCAGCCAUCAUUUAAAGAGUGCGUAAUAGCUCACUAGUCGAGUGACACUGCGCCGAAAAUGUACCGGGGCUAAACAUAUUACCGAAGCUGUGGAUUGUCCUUUGGACAAUGGUAGGAGAGCGUUCUAAGG